CAGCCGCCGCGGUAAUGCGGAGGGGGCUAGCGUUGUUCGGAUUUACUGGGCGUAAAGCGCACGUAGGCGGACUUUUAAGUCAGGGGUGAAAUCCCGGGGCUCAACCCCGGAACUGCCUUUGAUACUGGGAGUCUUGAGUUCGAGAGAGGUGAGUGGAAUUGCGAGUGUAGAGGUGAAAUUCGUAGAUAUUCGCAGGAACACCAGUGGCGAAGGCGGCUCACUGGCUCGAUACUGACGCUGAGGUGCGAAAGCGUGGGGAGCAAACAGGAUUAGAUACCCGCGUAGUCCCUGUCUCUUAUAC
Molecule: ribosomal RNA, 301 nt
Filed under: uncultured bacterium
Lineage: Bacteria
Description: partial 16S ribosomal RNA
Rfam family: Bacterial small subunit ribosomal RNA
Source: RNAcentral